UUAACUCAAAUUUGUAAGGAGUUGGAACGUUUGUCUACGUUUUCCGCUAGGGGCGCUGUUUCAACUCCAUACAAAUUUGAGUUA
This is a non-coding RNA of Bombyx mori (domestic silkworm), 84 nucleotides long. Lineage: Eukaryota; Metazoa; Arthropoda; Insecta; Lepidoptera; Bombycidae. The record is from Rfam.